This 253-nucleotide ribosomal RNA is filed under the name uncultured bacterium. RNAcentral's name for it is "partial 16S ribosomal RNA". It matches the Rfam family "Bacterial small subunit ribosomal RNA", at positions 524 to 776 of the family's 1533-position model. The record is from RNAcentral.
UCCGGAGGGGGCUAUCGUUGUUCGGAAUUACUGGGCGUAAAGGGCGCGUAGGCGGACCUGCAAGUCAGAGGUGAAAGGCCUGGGCUCAACCCGGGAACAGCAUUUGAUACUGCGAGGCUAGAGUCCGGGAGAGGAUGGCGGAAUUCCCAGUGUAGAGGUGAAAUUCGUAGAUAUUGGGAAGAACACCGGUGGCGAAGGCGGCUAUCUGGCCCGGUACUGACGCUGAGGCGCGAAAGCGUGGGGAGCAAACAGG